RNAcentral lists this long non-coding RNA (260 nucleotides) under Propithecus coquereli (Coquerel's sifaka). RNAcentral describes it as "SMAD5 antisense RNA 1 conserved region 1 (ENSPCOG00000003990.1)". It matches the Rfam family "SMAD5 antisense RNA 1 conserved region 1". Lineage: Eukaryota; Metazoa; Chordata; Mammalia; Primates; Indriidae. The record is from RNAcentral.
GGAAAGGAAGCUCUAUUGUUUCCAAGAACCCUGUCUGGGGGAGUCAGAAGGUUAGACAUUUCUUCCUCUGAUGUCCACUCACUGUGAUUGUCUCAGGAAGUAGAGAAGUCCUUGAGGUAGCUACCAGGACACUUCACGGAUCUUUGUAAUGUCAUUCACAGAUGCCCCUACCCUGGGUGACUCUUCCUAACAUGUUCCUCCAAUUCUCCCAGGAAGGCAUGCGGUAGUCAUGUAGGGAGAACCUUCUGAGCUACAGCAAG